This 301-nucleotide small RNA is filed under the name Histoplasma ohiense. Its description in RNAcentral is "hypothetical lncRNA". The record is from RNAcentral. Lineage: Eukaryota; Fungi; Ascomycota; Eurotiomycetes; Onygenales; Ajellomycetaceae.
AUUCUAUUACUUCAUUCGCUCAUCUACUCAUCUUGCGUUUGGCUGCGUUUUAAAUGUGGAAGGGAAUUUAAACACCCUGUUUGUUUGUGCCCGAAACUCCUCAAGGGAUAUCAGCAGAUAUAACAAUCCGAAGCAAGGGACGCUUAAUAAUAUCAGCAUUAUGCAUUUAGGCACCCAAGACUGGAAUUUAAAGGAGUUAUUCGUCUUGUGCAUGGCCAUGGCCCACUUCGAUAACGUUGUCUUCGGCGGCAAAAGGAAAUGUUCAUUUGUUUAAUCUUGGCAAAGUCAGAUUGUGGCAGGA